UACGUAGGGUGCAAGCGUUGUCCGGAAUUAUUGGGCGUAAAGCGCACGUAGGCGGCUUAGCAAGUCGGAAGUGAAAUCCCUCGGCUCAACCAAGGAAGUGCUUUCGAAACUGCUGAGCUUGAGUACUAAAGAGGAUCGCGGAAUUCCCGGUGUAGAGGUGAAAUUCGUAGAUAUUCGCAAGAACACCAGUGGCGAAGGCGGCUCACUGGCCCGGAACUGACGCUGAGGUGCGAAAGCGUGGGGAGCAAACAGG
Molecule: ribosomal RNA, 253 nt
Filed under: uncultured bacterium
Lineage: Bacteria
Description: partial 16S ribosomal RNA
Rfam family: Bacterial small subunit ribosomal RNA
Source: RNAcentral